RNAcentral lists this ribosomal RNA (482 nucleotides) under uncultured bacterium. RNAcentral's name for it is "bacterial SSU rRNA". It matches the Rfam family "Bacterial small subunit ribosomal RNA", at positions 36 to 518 of the family's 1533-position model. The record is from RNAcentral.
CUGGCGGCGUGCUUAACACAUGCAAGUCGAACGAAGCAACUUAUUACGAUCCCUUCGGGGUGACGAUUGUUGACUGAGUGGCGGACGGGUGAGUAACGCGUGGGUAACCUGCCUUGUACAGGGGGACAACAGUUGGAAACGACUGCUAAUACCGCAUAAGCGCACAGCUUCGCAUGAAGCAGUGUGAAAAGUUUUUCGGUACAAGAUGGACCCGCGUCUGAUUAGCUAGUUGGUGAGGUAACGGCCCACCAAGGCGACGAUCAGUAGCCGACCUGAGAGGGUGACCGGCCACAUUGGGACUGAGACACGGCCCAAACUCCUACGGGAGGCAGCAGUGGGGAAUAUUGCACAAUGGGCGAAAGCCUGAUGCAGCCGACGCCGCGUGAGCGAAGAAGUAUUUCGGUAUGUAAAGCUCUAUCAGCAGGGAAGAUAAUGACGGUACCUGACUAAGAAGCACCGGCUAAAUACGUGCCAGCCGCUGC